UUAAUAAAAAUAUUUUUUUUAUUUUAGUAUUUAUAAGAAAAAAUAAUUAUUAUGAUAGAGAAAUAGUAUUGUAAAAGAAUAUUAUUAAUUAUAAAAAAGAAUAUUUUAUUAAUAGUAUCUUGUGUAUUAGAGUUUAUUAAAAAUAAGUUAUAAAUAUAAUUAUCUUGAAAUUUUAGGAGAAAUAAUUUUUAAAUUUUAUUGUUAUAUAAAUAAAAUAAAAAAAAUUAUAGUAAUGAUAAGUUAAUCGAUUAAAAUUUUAUCUAGUUAUUUUAGAAAUUAAUUUAAUUAAGUUAUUAAGAAAAUUUUAAUAAUAAUUAAUUUAUUAAAAUUAUUUAAUAAAAAUAUAUAAAGGGAUAAGCUUUUUUAUAAAAUUAUAAAUAUGAUUAAUUAUAAAUAAUUUGUUAGAUUAAUAUUGUUUAUCAAUAAUAGUUUAUUAAAAAUAUUUAUUUAAUAUUAAAGAUUUAUAAAUAUUUUAAUUUAUUUAUAAAAUUAAUAAAUUUAAUUUAAUAAUAAAUAUAAUAAUGAUAAAAUUAGUAAAUAAAAAUUUAUAGAUAAUAUAAAAUAAAAUAUUGAGUUAAAGAAUUAGACAAAUAAAUUUUUUACCUGUUUAUUAAAAACAUGUCUAUUUGAAAAGAAUAAAUAGUCUAAUCUGCCCAUUGAUUAAUUAAAAGGCUGCAGUAUAUUGACUGUACAAAGGUAGCAUAAUCAUUAGUUUUUUAAUUAGGAACUUGAAUGAAUGAUUGAAUAAAAAAUGAUUGUUUUAAUUUGAUUAAUUGAAUUUUUUUAUUAAGUGAAAAAACUUAAAUGAGAUUAAAAGACGAGAAGACCCUAUAAAUUUUUAUUAUUUAAUAAUUUUUAAUUAAUUAAAGUAAUUUAGUUGGGGAAAUUUAAAGAUUAAAAUAAUUCUUUUUAUAAUUAAUAAAGAUAAUUAAUUUAAUGAUCCUAAAAAGGAUGAAAGAAUAAAUUGCUUUAGGGAUAACAGCAUAAUUUUUUUGAAGAGUUCUUAUUAAUAAAAAAGUUUGUGACCUCGAUGUUGGAUUAAAAUAAAUUAUUAUGAGUAGAAUAAUAAUAAUAAAGUCUGUUCGACUUAAAAUUUUACAUGAUCUGAGUUUAAAUCGGUGUG
This 1123-nucleotide ribosomal RNA is filed under the name Mengenilla chobauti. Its description in RNAcentral is "partial 16S large subunit ribosomal RNA". The record is from RNAcentral. Lineage: Eukaryota; Metazoa; Arthropoda; Insecta; Strepsiptera; Mengenillidae.